Molecule: ribosomal RNA, 468 nt
Filed under: uncultured bacterium
Lineage: Bacteria
Description: partial 16S ribosomal RNA
Rfam family: Bacterial small subunit ribosomal RNA
Source: RNAcentral
GACGAACGCUGGCGGCGUGCUUAACACAUGCAAGUCGAACGGAAAGGCCCUGCUUUUGUGGGGUGCUCGAGUGGCGAACGGGUGAGUAACACGUGAGUAACCUGCCCUUUACUUUGGGAUAACUUCAGGAAACUGGGGCUAAUACCGGAUAGGAGCUCCUGCUGCAUGGUGUGGGUUGGAAAGUUUCGGCGGGUGGGGAUGGACUCGCGGCUUAUCAGCUUGUUGGUGGGGUAGUGGCUUACCAAGGCUUUGACGGGUAGCCGGCCUGAGAGGGUGACCGGCCAAAUUGGGACUGAGAUACGGCCCAGACUCCUACGGGAGGCAGCAGUGGGGAAUAUUGCAAAAUGGGCGGAAGCCUGAUGCAGCAACGCCGCGUGCGGGAUGACGGCCUUCGGGUUGUAAACCGCUUUCGCCUGUGACGAAGCGUGAGUGACGGUAAUGGGUAAAGAAGCACCGGCUAACUACGUG